GACGAACGCUGGCGGCGUGCUUAACACAUGCAAGUCGAACGGAGAGGCCCUGCUUUUGUGGGGUGCUCGAGUGGCGAACGGGUGGGUAACACGUGAGUAACCUGCCCUUGACUUUGGGAUAACUUCAGGAAACUGGGGCUAAUACCGGAUAGGAGCUCCUGCUGCAUGGUGGGGGUUGGAAAGUUUCGGCGGUUGGGGAUGGACUCGCGGCUUAUCAGCUUGUUGGUGGGGUAGUGGCUUACCAAGGCUUUGACGGGUAGCCGGCCUGAGAGGGUGACCGGCCACAUUGGGACUGAGAUACGGCCCAGACUCCUACGGGAGGCAGCAGUGGGGAAUAUUGCACAAUGGGCGGAAGCCUGAUGCAGCAACGCCGCGUGCGGGAUGACGGCCUUCGGGUUGUAAACCGCUUUCGCCUGUGACGAAGCGUGAGUGACGGUAAUGGGUAAAGAAGCACCGGCUAACUACGUG
This 468-nucleotide ribosomal RNA is filed under the name uncultured bacterium. RNAcentral's name for it is "partial 16S ribosomal RNA". It matches the Rfam family "Bacterial small subunit ribosomal RNA", at positions 28 to 507 of the family's 1533-position model. The record is from RNAcentral.